Molecule: long non-coding RNA, 599 nt
Filed under: Marmota monax (woodchuck)
Lineage: Eukaryota; Metazoa; Chordata; Mammalia; Rodentia; Sciuridae
Source: RNAcentral
GCCAGAUAUAUGCUUUUGCCAUUGUCUCUGACAAUGUAGUGGGUCGUCCUGAGCAAGAAAAAAAGAUUAAAGCUAUAGGACAAUGGGAAGUUUUCAGGCACAUGCAAAAAAGCCUGGUGUCAGAAAAAACUAUUAGUAAUAAAGAUAUAUGUUUAAAAGUUUGGGUAGUUCGAUAAAGCUACUAUUUAUGCAUGGAAAAUGUGUAUAUAUAAAUCUAUUAUGUAUAAUACACAUGAUUCUUAUAUUUAAACACACACACACACACACACACACACACACACAUGAGAUUUUGGAGCAGACACUAUCUAUAAUCUUUUCCCAUUUACAAGCUUAAAUAUCAUCAAAAUCAGCUAGCCAGUAUAGAGGUAAAUAUGUAUUUUUUAAAUCUAAAUUUGAAAAAGUAAGAAACACAUAUAUAGAGAAAUAUUUGAGUUGCAUAAUCCUUAAACAUACCACACCAAUAAAAGAACUUCCCAGCAUUCUUCCAUCUUGUUUUUACAAUUCAUAGGAAACAAUCUGUUUACUUCUUUUCUGUUAGUGAACUGAAAGGAGUUUGAUUAUGGUUCUGUUCUUUGUAUCUACUACUGCUUUGGGUUUAU